AGGACGAACGCUGGCGGCGUGCUUAACACAUGCAAGUCACGGGGGGUAGCAAUACCAACCGGCGAACGGGUGCGUAACACGUGAGCAACCUACCGAUUUGUGGGGGAUAGCCGGCCCAACGGCCGGGUAAUACCGCAUACGCUCUUCUGGCCUCAUGGCCGGAUGAGGAAACCUCCGGGGCAAAUCGAGGGGCUCGCGGCCUAUCAGCUAGUUGGCGAGGUCACGGCUCACCAAGGCGACGACGGGUAGC
Molecule: ribosomal RNA, 250 nt
Filed under: uncultured bacterium
Lineage: Bacteria
Description: partial small subunit ribosomal RNA
Rfam family: Bacterial small subunit ribosomal RNA
Source: RNAcentral